Juglans microcarpa x Juglans regia is the source of this 852-nucleotide long non-coding RNA. RefSeq lists it as uncharacterized. The record is from RefSeq and is a predicted model, not a curated record. The transcript has 2 exons. NCBI's taxonomy places the organism in Eukaryota, Viridiplantae, Streptophyta, Magnoliopsida, Fagales, Juglandaceae.
CUUCUAUGUAGCAUCCACUGUAGUGGGUGCACACAAUGCACUCACUACGUGGAUGCUUGUGAUUUUUUGUAUUUUUUUUUUAAAAGUCAAAACGCACGUUUUGAUCGAAUUUCCAAAUCCGUAGCAGUUUCAUCCAUUCGAAUUCAUCCCGCGAAAGAGACGCUCCAUCGCAACCCGCGUUUGCUCUCGCAACCCAGCUCCUCUCGGAGACGCCGUCUCUCUCGUCAGUGCCACUGAGCGGCGCUCCUCCGUUUGCCCAGUGCCUCCACUGUCCCACGAGCUCGUUGAACAGAGUAAACAAGGUUUCAAUCCCGCAAACCUCCUUCCUUGCCACCAACUCGCGUCCGUCGGCUUCCUCUUGCCAGCGCCACCUCGCGACGGCAUCUCUCGGUUCAGGGCCAACUCGCAACGCUCGUUAGUCUGCCCAGUGCCGCCGCUCCCCAUGAGCUGAUUGAACGGACCAAACUAGCGACGGGACCGAGAGCUCUAUUUCACCAAAUGGUUUGCUAGGCAAAUGCGGACAAUCUAUGUAUCUCAUGGAGCAGAAGUGGUUCCAUCUGUAAUUUCAGCACAGUUUUAGGCCCAUAUUCCAUUGACCUCUGGAUGGUGAUCCUUCAUGAGGCAAGCUUUGCUCAUUGACCCCAUUGUUGGGUUCUGAGGGAAGUUGUGAGGGUUAGAAUUUCUUUUGUUCUUUAGAUUCUCAUCAUCCAUAAUAUUUGCAUUUCUAUGAGUACCAUUCAGUCAACUUGGCACUGAUUAAAUGCUUCAGUUGAGGUGCUUUUGAUGAUUGAAUACAAUGCACCUUUCUUUGAAGUCUGAUUUUCCAACAUCAGAAAAUUAGCAAUGUCUUUA